GACCGGAGUGGACGGACCACUGGUGUUCGGGUUGUGUCGCCAGACGCAUUGCCCGGUAGCUAUGUUCGGACGGGAUAACCGCUGAAAGCAUCUAAGCGGGAAGCCCCCUUCAAGAUGAGACUUCCCUGGGCCCUAGAGGUCCCUGAAGAGCCGUUAAAGACUAUGACGUUGAUAGGUUGGGUGUGUAAGUGCUGUGAGGCAUUGAGCUAACCAAUACUAAUGACUCGUGCGGCUUGACCAU
RNAcentral lists this ribosomal RNA (241 nucleotides) under Salinisphaera sp. G21_0. RNAcentral describes it as "partial 23S ribosomal RNA". It matches the Rfam family "Bacterial large subunit ribosomal RNA", at positions 2690 to 2925 of the family's 2925-position model. Lineage: Bacteria; Pseudomonadati; Pseudomonadota; Gammaproteobacteria; Salinisphaerales; Salinisphaeraceae. The record is from RNAcentral.